UACGAAGGGGGCUAGCGUUGCUCGGAAUUACUGGGCGUAAAACGCACGUAGGCGGCUCUUUAAGUCGGGGGUGAAAUCCUGGAGCUCAACUCCAGAACUGCCUUCGAUACUGUAGAGCUUGAGUUCGGGAGAGGUGAGUGGAACUGCGAGUGUAGAGGUGAAAUUCGUAGAUAUUCGCAAGAACACCAGUGGCGAAGGCGGCUCACUGGCCCGAUACUGACGCUGAGGUGCGAAAGCGUGGGGAGCAAACAGG
This 253-nucleotide ribosomal RNA is filed under the name uncultured bacterium. RNAcentral's name for it is "partial 16S ribosomal RNA". It matches the Rfam family "Bacterial small subunit ribosomal RNA", at positions 524 to 776 of the family's 1533-position model. The record is from RNAcentral.